GUGAGGUGAUGGAGCGGCCGCUGUCAUUCCUGCCGAUGUUGUGAGGUAAACAGCAACCCCUUUUGAGGGGGACAAAUGUCGGUCCUGGAGGUGAUUCAUGAGGAGAUAGAGGCAGAAUUAUAUAAGGGUGCCUCCAGCUGUUGUAAAACUACAAUUCUUGCAGAAUGAUCUUCCUCCCACCCAGCGGUCGCUCGACCCAUUGAAGCAGGACAGGCUCUCUCUGAUCAACUGACUAGUGAUGUAAUGUCUCGGGCCGCACUGCAACCUGGGAAAACCUGAGACGACACUCAUUUUGAAUGUUGUUAAAAAUAAUCUUCUGGACAAAGAUCACAUAAGAAUUGCGAGACCACAAUCAAACACAGGUUCUGUGGAGACAAGUCAUGGUCGGGAGAAGUCAUUAUGAUGGUCUUGGCCGGAUAGAGAAGAAAAGAAAAAGUGAUCUCCACCGAUCAGAGAAGACGCCCCCUGUAAUUGACUCAGAGAAGAUGCCCCCUGUGAGUCUAUAAUAUCUGCUGUAUUCUCCUGAUUUCGUCCCAUCAGCGCUGAAGUCACAUACAUUCUGCAGUUUUGUAUAGAGAAACAACUACUCCCAGCAUUGUGUAUUGGAUAACGGUGCCCUGGCAUCACGAAGUGAUAAGGUAUUUCUCCUAACACCCCCGUGGUACCAUAUAAAUACACAUGUUAUAUCACAGCAGCUUAGCUGAUCAGACUGAAACUUGUGAUGUCAUAGUAGCUUACAAUGACACAAACAUCGUCAAAAGAGGGUCCAUGUGUAAGGGCCCUAUUACAUUGGUGGAUUGUCAGCUGAUCGCUGGCCCUAUUAUGAUAAGUUCACAUGGUGAAAUGCUGGCACAGAAUUCUGCAGGAAUAUUCCUAUAUUGAUUUCAGUGGGAUUCUGCUGCACUGUACACACGGCGGAAUUUCCUGCUGCAGAAAUCCCGAUUCCGGCGUCCACAGAAAGGACAGACUUUCUGCAGAUUCCGCUAAGAA
This is a long non-coding RNA of Hyla sarda, 990 nucleotides long. RefSeq lists it as uncharacterized. Lineage: Eukaryota; Metazoa; Chordata; Amphibia; Anura; Hylidae. The record is from RefSeq and is a predicted model, not a curated record. The transcript has 3 exons.